RNA transcript from Brassica napus (rape), 1302 nucleotides. It is a transcript of the gene named plasmodesmata-located protein 5-like, with no coding region annotated. NCBI's taxonomy places the organism in Eukaryota, Viridiplantae, Streptophyta, Magnoliopsida, Brassicales, Brassicaceae. The transcript is spliced from 3 exons. The record is from RefSeq and is a predicted model, not a curated record.
AAAACCAUGCAACAAGGAAACUACAUAUAUGUUAGUCCAUUCUUUACGUCAAUUCUCUUUAAAGCAAACUCUUCGCUCCUCAAUUUCUAUUUUACUCUGCCUAAACACUUCCCCUCUUCAGUCACCAUCAGAUCAAACAUGCUGAAAACAACCACAACGGCGACCUUUCUCUGUUUCGUUCUCGCCACCGUGGUUCUGAUGAACCCAACUUCCUCCACCGCCACAUACAGCCCAACUUCCUCCGCCUCCACAGACACGUUCAUAUUGGCAAAGUGUUCUCCGGAAAAGUUCUCUCCUGGCUCAGCCUACGAGACCAACCUCAACUCCCUCCUCUCUUCCCUCGUUAGCUCCACCGUCGCCAGCCGCUACAAUAACCUCACCGUUCCCUCCGGCACCGGAACAAAAUCCGAACCGGCCGUUGUAUAUGGUCUUUUCCAGUGCAGCGUUGACCUAGACGCAACUUCUUGCUCAUCGUGCGUAUCACGUGCCACAGCACUGGUCGGAAACACAUGUCCCAACUCGUACUCAGUGUUCUUGGAGAUGCAAAGUUGUCUGGUCCGGUUCGACAAGAGCUCGUUCUUUGGCGUUCAGGACAAAACAGAGAUGCUCAAGAAAUGUGGACAGCCGAUGGGAAAUAACGACCAGGAUGCGUUGACCAGAGUCAGUGACGUCAUGGGUUCGUUAAGUUCAGGGAGUGGAUCUGACAGGUCUGGAGGGAACGGGGAUGUUCGGGGUAUGGCUCAGUGCAUGGGUGAUCUAAGUCCAGCACAGUGUCAGGAUUGCUUGACUGAUGCAAUCGGACGGCUCAGUUCUGACUGUGGUAUGUCCCAGGGAGGAUACGUUUACUUGUCCAAGUGCUACGCGCGUUUUAGCUACGGUGGUAGUCACGCUCGUCAGACGCCAACUCAAACUUUGGUCAGAUUUCUUUAUUUUAAAAGAGGAGAUAAAGACGAUAAAAUAAUGACGGCAUCGGGAAAACAUUGGCGAUAAUUAUUGGGAUUAUCACCUUAGUCAUCUUGCUCGUUGUGUUUCUCGCUUUUCUUGGAAAGCAAUUGAGAAAAUUACAAGACGAGAAAUGUUGUAAAUGAAAAGUCAACGUGGGAAAGAGGUCAAUCAACCACGAGUCAAGCCAUGCAAUGCUAGUUGUAUUUUGGUAAUUAAAAAAUUUGUGACUGGAUGCCUCACAAGAUGUAGUUAUAUAGUAUUUCAACGUUUGUAUUUUGUACUUGAUUUUUGUAUUAUCAUCGGACUUUAGCCAGAAAACAUAUACUAAUGGAUAAUACUCCCUCCGUUUCUUAUUAA